GAUCCUGCCAGUAGUCAUAUGCUUGUCUCAAAGAUUAAGCCAUGCAUGUCUAAGUACAAGCCGAUUUAAGGCGAAACCGCGGACGGCUCAUUAAAUCAGAUAUAAUUCAUUGGAUCUGUAAAACCCAUUUACUUGGAUAACUGUGGUAAUUCUAGAGCUAAUACACGCAUUCAGAGUCUCUGACAGCAAUGGAAGAGCGCUUUUAUUAGUUCAAAACCUUUCGGACCUUGGGCCAAACCAAAACCUUGGUGAAUCUAGAUAACUUCGGCUGAGCGCACGAUCAUCCUUAGCCCUCCAAGGCUAACGGAGUCGGCGCCGCAUCCUGCAAGUGUCUGCCUUAUCAGCUCUCGAUUGUAGGUCAAACGCCUACAGUGGCUAUAACGGGUAACGGGGAAUCAGGGUUCGAUUCCGGAGAGGGAGCCUGAGAAACGGCUACCACAUCUAAGGAAGGCAGCAGGCGCGCAAAUUACCCACUCCCGGCACGGGGAGGUAGUGACGAAAAAUACUGUUGCGAGACUCAAACGAGGCUUCGCAAUUGGAAUGAGUACACUUUAAAUCCUUGUACGAGGAUCAAGUGGAGGGCAAGUCUGGUGCCAGCCGCCGCGGUAAUUCCAGCUCCAUUAGCGUAUAUUAAAGCUGUUGCGGUUAAAACGCUCGUAGUUUGCCCUCUGCUCCGGACUGGCGGUUCGCCUUAGCGGCGUUUACUGCACAGCUCCGAGCUAUGUCCCGGUCGGCUCGCUUGGGGUGCUCUUCGCCGAGUGUCCCUCGUGGCCAACGAGUUUACUUUGAAAAAAUUAGAGUGCUCAGAGCAGGCUAUACUAAGGCCUGAAUGGUGGUGCAUGGAAUGAUGGAAUAGGACCUCGGUUCUAUUUUGUUGGUUUUCGGAACCCGAGGUAAUGAUUAAGAGAAGCAGACGGGGGCAUUCGUACUGCGACGAUAGAGGUGAAAUUCUUAGACCGUCGCAUGACGAGCUACUGCGAAAGCAUCUGCCAAGGAUGUUUUCAUUAAUCAAGAACGAAAGUUAGAGGUUCGAAGGCGAUCAGAUACCGCCCUAGUUCUAACCAUAAACGUUGCUGACUAGCGAUCCGCCGGAGUUAUUCCCAUGACCCGGCGGGUAGCUUCCGGGAAACCAAAGUAUUUGAGUUCCGGGGGAAGUAUGGUUGCAAAGCUGAAACUUAAAGGAAUUGACGGAAGGGCACCACCAGGAGUGGAGCCUGCGGCUCAAUUUGACUCAACACGGGGAAUCUUACCAGGCCCGGACACUGGAAGGAUUGACAGAAUGAAAGCUCUUUCUCGAUUCGGUGGGUGGUGGUGCAUGGCCGUUCUUAGUUGGUGGAGCGAUUUGUCUGGUUAAUUCCGAUAACGAACGAGACUCUAGCCUAUUAACUAGUCGACGGAUCUUUUAUUUAAUCCGUUAUCCAAAGUGGGUGGGGCCGUCACAUCCUCCUCCGGGGGGGUUGGCGGUCUUCCCAUUCCAAUAAUGGUGUCCCAGUUCGCAAUUUCUUCUUAGAGGGAUAAGCGGCAGCAAAAAACAUACUAGCCGCACGAGAUUUUGAGCCAUAACAGGUCUGUGAUGCCCUUAGAUGUUCUGGGCCGCACGCGCGCUACAAUGGAGAGUUCAGCGAGCUCUCCCUGCUCCGACAGGAGCGGGUAACCUUAUCAAAGCUGUCCUUAAAGGGGAUUGGGGCUUGCAAAUGUGUCCCAUGAACGAGGAAUUCCCAGUAGGUGCAAUUCACCAGAUUGCGCCGAUUUAGUCCCUGCCCUUUGUACACACCGCCCGUCGCUACUACCGAUUGAAUGGUCUAGUGAGGGCACCGGACUGGCGCCCUUGGAGUAGCGCCCGUUCUCUCUCCCUCUCUCGUUCGCGGGAAGGGAGGAACGGGCCUCCUGCUCCUCGGGUCGACGGAAAGGCGUCCGAGCUGGGUCAUUUAGAGGAAGUAAAAGUCGUAACAAGGUUUCCGUAGGUGAACCUGC
Molecule: ribosomal RNA, 1974 nt
Filed under: Mesopenaeus tropicalis
Lineage: Eukaryota; Metazoa; Arthropoda; Malacostraca; Decapoda; Solenoceridae
Description: SSU rRNA
Rfam family: Eukaryotic small subunit ribosomal RNA
Source: RNAcentral